Molecule: long non-coding RNA, 849 nt
Organism: Nyctereutes procyonoides (raccoon dog)
Lineage: Eukaryota; Metazoa; Chordata; Mammalia; Carnivora; Canidae
Exons: 5
Source: RefSeq, a predicted model, not a curated record
GUGGCUUCUGCCACAACUGCUCAGCUUCGCCCCGAUGCCUUGAAAGUAGCGGUGGCCCAUAUGUAAAUGAAAUCAAGCUUUACUCCCGAAAACCAGCAGCAGGGCUGGAUGGGGCCUUUGGGUCACAGGGUGCUGGCUCCUGUGCCAGUUGAUUGCUCUCCCGACCUAGGACAGACAGAAGGUCCCCCGUAGCAGUCCACGCGCUCUGACUGGUUCUUCCACUUGCCUCUGCUUCCGAAUACCCCAAGGAGCCUACGGAGAACACGGAUGCUUGGGACCCAGCCCAGACUUCCAAAUCAGAAUGUGCAGGGAUGGCCUGGGGUCUGGGCCCUAGGUGAUUCCGACCUGGGACUGUUGUGACUUGGUCCAAGAUGCAGUCAACGAGACAAGACCCUCCAACAUGAAGUGGCCCAAGGAAGCAACAGAUCUGUUCCUCUGCUGGCUCGCCUCUCAGGACAAUGGCACCCACACCCACCCUGUUGCCCAGAAACUGAAUCAUUCUGGUCCUCUUACUUGCUGGCCCAUUGACUUAAGGUCCGGGAUUUGACUGAGGAUCCGCACCAUUGUGCCCAAACCUGGCAAUGGCUCCAGAAGGAACAAACUCUUGGGACCCAUUUUACAGGGAGGAAACUGAGACCGAGUGGGGCAAAGUGAUUCUCCCAAGAUGAACGUUUGUGUAUGUCUGGCCUAGGAUCCUGAGAUUCACGGAGAAUUCUUUGGGCCUGCGUCCUCAUUGUCCACCCUUGGCAGUCUCAGUGUCAUACCUGAGCAGGGGCUGUGUACCAAAAGCACUGGCUGUGGUACAGACUAACUGAUUCUCGAGUUCCUGUGGGAAAAUCAGCAAGUGUU